AACAGAAAGUAGCUUGCUACUUUGCUGACGAGCGGCGGACGGGUGAGUAAUGCUUGGGAACAUGCCUUGAGGUGGGGGACAACAGUUGGAAACGACUGCUAAUACCGCAUAAUGUCUACGGACCAAAGGGGGCUUCGGCUCUCGCCUUUAGAUUGGCCCAAGUGGGAUUAGCUAGUUGGUGAGGUAAUGGCUCACCAAGGCAACGAUCCCUAGCUGGUUUGAGAGGAUGAUCAGCCACACUGGAACUGAGACACGGUCCAGACUCCUACGGGAGGCAGCAGUGGGGAAUAUUGCACAAUGGGCGCAAGCCUGAUGCAGCCAUGCCGCGUGUGUGAAGAAGGCCUUCGGGUUGUAAAGCACUUUCAGUCAGGAGGAAAGGUUAGUAGUUAAUACCUGCUAGCUGUGACGUUACUGACAGAAGAAGCACCGGCUAACUCCGUGCCAGCAGCCGCGGUAAUACGGAGGGUGCGAGCGUUAAUCGGAAUUACUGGGCGUAAAGCGUACGCAGGCGGUUUGUUAAGCGAGAUGUGAAAGCCCCGGGCUCAACCUGGGAACUGCAUUUCGAACUGGCAAACUAGAGUGUGAUAGAGGGUGGUAGAAUUUCAGGUGUAGCGGUGAAAUGCGUAGAGAUCUGAAGGAAUACCGAUGGCGAAGGCAGCCACCUGGGUCAACACUGACGCUCAUGUACGAAAGCGUGGGG
RNAcentral lists this ribosomal RNA (700 nucleotides) under Pseudoalteromonas sp. Rep_14_211. RNAcentral's name for it is "bacterial SSU rRNA". It matches the Rfam family "Bacterial small subunit ribosomal RNA", at positions 68 to 766 of the family's 1533-position model. The record is from RNAcentral. Lineage: Bacteria; Pseudomonadati; Pseudomonadota; Gammaproteobacteria; Alteromonadales; Pseudoalteromonadaceae.